This 409-nucleotide ribosomal RNA is filed under the name uncultured microorganism. RNAcentral describes it as "bacterial SSU rRNA". It matches the Rfam family "Bacterial small subunit ribosomal RNA", at positions 9 to 420 of the family's 1533-position model. The record is from RNAcentral.
GAGUUUGAUCUUGGCUCAGGAUGAACGCUGGCGGCGUGCUUAACACAUGCAAGUCGAACGAUGAUCCCAGCUUGCUGGGGGAUUAGUGGCGAACGGGUGAGUAACACGUGAGUAACCUGCCCUUGACUCUGGGAUAAGCCUGGGAAACUGGGUCUAAUACCGGAUAUGACCUUCCAUCGCAUGGUGGUUGGUGGAAAGCUUUUGUGGUUUUGGAUGGACUCGCGGCCUAUCAGCUUGUUGGUGAGGUAAUGGCUUACCAAGGCGACGACGGGUAGCCGGCCUGAGAGGGUGACCGGCCACACUGGGACUGAGACACGGCCCAGACUCCUACGGGAGGCAGCAGUGGGGAAUAUUGCACAAUGGGCGCAAGCCUGAUGCAGCGACGCCGCGUGAGGGAUGACGGCCUCGG